GCAUUCCAGUCCUGGAACAGUCNCAGCUGCUUCACCUCUUGGACUGACCUUCCCUUGACUCUCAAGGAACAGACAGAUUUUGUGUUCUUGCAGUCCUAGGCCUUCCUGUGACCUGAAUGAAAACCCUCCAGCCUCUUUCCCACUAAAGCCACGCUGCAGUUCUCCAUUUAUUUUUUCAGUUUGAAAUGACAGAAGAAUCUUGAAGGGGGUAGAAAUGAGGACAGCGCCACCUGCUGAUCAUUAAAGGCUGUGUUCCCCUGGGGCAGUGACCGGAGGGUUCUUUCCUUUUAAUCUGUAAGAACCCUCCACUAAUGAAGAAGGACCAUCUGCACCCCAUCACCUACCAAUUAAGAAGGAUGGGGAUCUGGAAGAAGGACACAAGGUCAAAAGAUGCUACACAUUUCUGAGGAAAGAAGAGGACAUUGGGAAGAUGUGCCUUUGAGAAUUCUGCA
Molecule: long non-coding RNA, 452 nt
Filed under: Salvator merianae (Argentine black and white tegu)
Lineage: Eukaryota; Metazoa; Chordata; Lepidosauria; Squamata; Teiidae
Description: lncRNA (ENSSMRG00000008426.1)
Source: RNAcentral